Molecule: ribosomal RNA, 446 nt
Filed under: uncultured bacterium
Lineage: Bacteria
Description: partial 16S ribosomal RNA
Rfam family: Bacterial small subunit ribosomal RNA
Source: RNAcentral
CCUACGGGUGGCAGCAGUCGAGAAUCAUUCACAAUGGGGGAAACCCUGAUGGUGCGACACCGCGUGGGGGAAUGAAGGUCUUCGGAUUGUAAACCCCUGUCAUGUGGGAGCAAAUUAGAAAGAUAGUCCCACAAGAGGAAGAGAUGGCUAACUCUGUGCCACCAACCGCGUGCAUACAGCGGUCUCAAGCGUUGGUUGGCAUAACUGGGCGUAAGGUGUGCGGAGGCUGGUUCGUAAGUCGGGUGUGAAAGGCGCGGGCUCAACCCCCGGACGGCACAUGAUACUGCGAGACUAGAGUAAUGGAGGGGGAACCGGAAUUCUCGGUGUAGCAGUGAAAUGCGUAGAUAUCGAGAGGAACACUCGUGGCGAAGGCGGGUUCCUGGACAUUAACUGACGCUGAGGCACGAAGGCCAGGGGAGCGAAAGGGAUUAGAUACCCUGGUAGUC